AACGAGGCCGACCUGCGGCUGAGUUACCUGCGGAAGGAUCAUUACCGAGUGAGGGCCCUCCGGGUCCAACCUCCCACCCGUGUUUAACGAACCUUGUUGCUUCGGCGGGCCCGCCUCACGGCCGCCGGGGGGCACCCCGCCCCCGGGCCCGCGCCCGCCGAAGACACCUGUGAACGCUGUCUGAAGUUGCAGUCUGAGACACUAGCUCAAUCAGUUAAAACUUUUAACAACGGAUCUCAG
This 240-nucleotide unclassified non-coding RNA is filed under the name soil metagenome. RNAcentral's name for it is "partial contains 5.8S ribosomal RNA, internal transcribed spacer 2, and large subunit ribosomal RNA". The record is from RNAcentral.